RNAcentral lists this ribosomal RNA (412 nucleotides) under Diclidophlebia sp. 'Haplaphalara' 1 LS-2020. RNAcentral's name for it is "partial large subunit ribosomal RNA". The stretch from base 89 to 401 matches the Rfam family "Bacterial large subunit ribosomal RNA", at positions 2079 to 2642 of the family's 2925-position model. Lineage: Eukaryota; Metazoa; Arthropoda; Insecta; Hemiptera; Liviidae. The record is from RNAcentral.
GAUGAAUGGCCUGACGGGAAUCUAUCUUUUUUUUUGCUUAGUAAUUUGAAUUUAGAGUUAAAGUUAAAAUACUUUAGUUGUGUAAAGUGACGAGAAGACCCUGUAGAGUUUGAUAUUUAAUUUGAAAUUUAAGUUUUUUGUUGGGGUGACAUGGAAUAAACUUUCUAUAUUUUUUUCCAUAUUGAGUGGCUGAAAGAUCCUAAAUUUUAGAUAAGAAGAUGAAGCUACCUUAGGGAUAACAGCAUAAUUUUUUUUGAAAGUUCUUAUUUGUGGAAAAGAUUAUGACCUCGAUGUUGAAUUAAGAUAAUAUUUUGGUGCAGAAUUUAAAAUAUAUAGUCUGUUCGACUUUAAUUUUUACAUGAUUUGAGUUCAGACCGGCGUGAGCCAGGUUGGUUUCUAUCUUUUAUUAUUA